Molecule: ribosomal RNA, 253 nt
Filed under: uncultured bacterium
Lineage: Bacteria
Description: partial 16S ribosomal RNA
Rfam family: Bacterial small subunit ribosomal RNA
Source: RNAcentral
UACAGAGGGGGCAAGCGUUGUUCGGAAUUACUGGGCGUAAAGGGCGCGUAGGCGGCCCGCUAAGUCGAACGUGAAAUCCCCGGGCUUAACCCGGGAACUGCGUCCGAUACUGGCAGGCUUGAAUCCGGGAGAGGGAUGUGGAAUUCCCAGUGUAGCGGUGAAAUGCGUAGAUAUUGGGAAGAACACCGGUGGCGAAAGCGCCUUGCUGGACCUGCACUGACACUGAGGGACGAAAGCUAGGGGAGCGAAAGGG